AUCUCUGCUGUUUCUUUAAUCGAAUCUCAUCGAAUUGAUCUGGGUUAGGAUUUUCAUAAGGCGAAUUGAGAGUUUACCUUUCGUGAGAGAGCUUGUCUUUUAGCCUUUGUACGUCUGAAAAAUGGCGAAUUUUGCCAAACCGGAGAAUGCAUUGAAGCGUGCUGAUGAAUUGAUCAAUGU
Molecule: non-coding RNA, 180 nt
Organism: Camelina sativa (false flax)
Lineage: Eukaryota; Viridiplantae; Streptophyta; Magnoliopsida; Brassicales; Brassicaceae
Source: RefSeq, a predicted model, not a curated record